GCCGCCGUAGCUCAGUCUGGUAGAGCGCCGGCCUCGUAAGCCGGUGGUCCGGGGUUCAAGUCCCCGCGGCGGCU
Molecule: transfer RNA, 74 nt
Filed under: Sulfurisphaera ohwakuensis
Lineage: Archaea; Thermoproteati; Thermoproteota; Thermoprotei; Sulfolobales; Sulfolobaceae
Also listed under: 3 other names
Description: tRNA-Thr
Rfam family: tRNA
About the family: Transfer RNA (tRNA) molecules are approximately 80 nucleotides in length. Their secondary structure includes four short double-helical elements and three loops (D, anti-codon, and T loops). Further hydrogen bonds mediate the characteristic L-shaped molecular structure. tRNAs have two regions of fundamental functional importance: the anti-codon, which is responsible for specific mRNA codon recognition, and the 3' end, to which the tRNAs corresponding amino acid is attached (by aminoacyl-tRNA synthetases). tRNAs cope with the degeneracy of the genetic code in two manners: having more than one tRNA (with a specific anti-codon) for a particular amino acid; and 'wobble' base-pairing, i.e. permitting non-standard base-pairing at the 3rd anti-codon position.
Source: RNAcentral